UCACAUAAAAUACAUCUCUUGAAGAAACUAAAGCUUUUAACAUUCUCAAGGACUAAAUCAAACUGCAACAAAAGGUUAGACUAUCGCUGAAGUUUAAUUCUCGAGUAAGAAUUCACUUCACCUUAUUCGAAAACCUUCUAUUAACAACAAUUGGUCAUUUCUAUCUUUUGCAAUUUGGUAGAAAUAUUGAGGUCAGAGAGAUGUGAUCUUGCUGAAUGGUCUCUCUCUCCCUCCACGAUAAAGUCAUAGCGGUGUAUAUACAAUCUCCUGGAUCUCCCUUCCUUUUCUGUGGAGCUGUCUCUCUGGCUCGCCCUUCCGUUGUUCUUACCCUUCAAUGGCCGGAUCCCGGUGGCCAGAUGCAACUGAUGUCGCUGGAUUCCGCCCCUCUUUCCACCAAGAUUGGUGUCUCCGUAGAGGACCUUGCGUCGUUGCCUUCACUUGAAACACUUGGCCCUAAAAGUUGGGGAGAAUCUAUUUAAUUUCAUGCAGUCCUCCUGUAGUGUCGAUGGUAGCAGACUUGUGGUUCCCAUGGAUAUACUGGGUCGGUGGUUAAAGAAGUUUCAAGAGAAGGCCACAAAGGACCCUGAGUACUUGAAGGGUUUUGUGUUAUGAUUUCCCAUCGAGUUUGGAGGCACAAUGGGGCUGGUAAUCAGAUGAAAGUACCACGGUGAUAAAGCUACCCACGCAAUGUAUAGACCAUUGGGUAUCACGAACAUGAACUGCUUGCAUACCAAUGUUGGUCCCCUCGCAGUUGAUGACUAUUUUGUGCUGUUAAGUUAAUUUUUGUGUAUAAGUUCUACUGGGGAAGAAACAAACUAAUGGCAUCUGGUUCCAUGAAUGGUCUUGGUAUAGCUAUCUUGGAGAUCUCCAGUGGCAUUUGUUA
Molecule: long non-coding RNA, 883 nt
Organism: Macadamia integrifolia
Lineage: Eukaryota; Viridiplantae; Streptophyta; Magnoliopsida; Proteales; Proteaceae
Exons: 2
Source: RefSeq, a predicted model, not a curated record